GGUGCCCGAUUGGUCAGACUUCAGAACCCUAGCCUCCAGUCCCACUCGCGCUCCUCUCCUUCGCUCUUGCAGUCGUCGCCGCGCUCCUGUCCUCCUCUGCUCGCCCUGCUCCCCAUCCUCGGCCCCACACCCGUCUAGGCGUCUCCUCCUCCUCCCCACCCCAUUGGCGGUCGGCAGUAGGAGCGCAGCUCGCUGCCGCCCCCUUGGAAGAGGUCCGGCUGCCUGCCCCACCACCACCCACCAGCAGGAGACCCCCGCCACCCCUCCAUCGCGUUCAUCGGAGGAGCGUCGUCAUCCAUUCACACAGCUGCUCCGCCCGAAGGCGUCACCAUCGACGGGAAGACUCGGUGUCGUCGCCGUCAUGCUCGCGUGCACCCGUCAGGAGGACUGCGGCCCUUCUCUCUCGCUGCUGGCGGGUGACCGGCGCAUCCAGGUCCCAGAGUGGCCCUCUCCGGCUCUCAACUCGGGGAGCCGCUGCUAUGAGCGCCGGAUGCCCUCGAGAUGGUCGGAGUUGUAGCGCCUCCAAUUCCGGCUCCAUCUCCACCCUUACAGAUGGUUUACGUCUUAACUGUCUACAACAAAAGGGAUAAGCAGCACUGCAUCCGGUUCUUUGCAGAUCCAUGUGCACUGUGAAAUUCCAGAUGGUAUCAGUGUGCCCACAGAACUCCAGAGUGUUGAUGAUUACCCAGACAACCAGUUCACAUUCAGUGUCAAGCACUUGGCUCCAAUAUCACUGACAUGCCUUAUGCCUCCAUCAUACCUGAGCCAUCAUCCUCCAUACUUCUUUCUCGGUGUACAGUGGUUGGAUACUGUGAAGGUCUCAACCCUUUGUCACAUGCUUGAAUCGAUUUGGGCCAUCAGUCUGCACAGGAAGUUUUUUUGAGUGGGUGCAGGGCUUUACGCUCUCUCAUCUUGGUUUUGAUGGCGGGAUAAUCAUGCUUGAAGGUCUCAACCCUUUGUCACAUGCUUGAAUCGAUUUGGGCACAUCAGUCUGCACAGGAAGUUGUUUUUGAGUGGGUGCAGGGCUUUACGCUCUCUCAUUUUGGUUUUGAUAGUGGGAUAAUCAUACGCAUGUCUGAUAGUACGACGGCUCCUGUGGAUGCUCGGGUUGUUGGAGAGAUUCUGUCUGUAGAGGAUGUUGUUCAACGGUUGAUCAACUACGAUGAAGAGCAAUGCCUUGAAACAUUAAUUCGGGGCCUCCAUGUCUGCGCAAUUUGUUUCAGUGAGCACCCAGAUAAUUCAGAUGCUCCAUUUGAUUCUUGGAUACUCUCCCUGCUGCUCAUUUCACAACUACAUCUUCAUUGUAACUUAAAUUUGUUGUUUUGAAACAGUAAGGGAGAACACUACUGAUACAGUAUAUAUUGGACACUGAAUUGCUGCUCCAUGGAGCCAGGGCACCAUCAUUUAUGCACAAAUCAAACAUAAUUUUGGUACUGUUUUUUGAGAUUUUA
RNA transcript from Triticum urartu, 1451 nucleotides. RefSeq lists it as uncharacterized. The record is from RefSeq and is a predicted model, not a curated record. Lineage: Eukaryota; Viridiplantae; Streptophyta; Magnoliopsida; Poales; Poaceae.